UACAGAGGGGGCCAGCGUUAUUCGGAAUUAUUGGGCGUAAAGGGCGCGUAGGCGGCCAUGCGUGUCUUCCGUGAAAUCCCUCGGCUUAACCGAGGACGUGCGGAAGAAACUGCAAGGCUCGAGUCCGGAAGAGGGGGGCGGAAUUCCCAGUGUAGCGGUGAAAUGCGUAGAUAUUGGGAGGAACACCAGUGGCGAAGGCGGCCUUCUGGACCAAUACUGACGCUCAUGCACGAAAGCGUGGGGAGCAAACAGG
This 253-nucleotide ribosomal RNA is filed under the name uncultured bacterium. RNAcentral's name for it is "partial 16S ribosomal RNA". It matches the Rfam family "Bacterial small subunit ribosomal RNA", at positions 524 to 776 of the family's 1533-position model. The record is from RNAcentral.